Molecule: ribosomal RNA, 346 nt
Filed under: uncultured bacterium
Lineage: Bacteria
Description: partial 16S ribosomal RNA
Rfam family: Bacterial small subunit ribosomal RNA
Source: RNAcentral
CCUACGGGAGGCAGCAGUGAGGAAUAUUGGUCAAUGGGCGCGAGCCUGAACCAGCCAAGUAGCGUGAAGGAUGACUGCCCUACGGGUUGUAAACUUCUGUUAUAAAGGAAUAAAGUGAGGCACGUGUGCCUUUUUGUAUGUACGUUAUGAAUAAGGAUCGGCUAACUCCGUGCCAGCAGCCGCGGUAAUACGGAGGAUCCGAGCGUUAUCCGGAUUUAUUGGGUUGAAAGGGAGCGUAGAUGGGUUGUUAAGUCAGUUGUGAAAGUUUGCGGCUCAACCGUAAAAUUGCACUUGAUACGGGCAGCCUUGAGUACAGUUGCGGUAGGCGGCUUUCGUGGUGUAGCGG